RNAcentral lists this ribosomal RNA (382 nucleotides) under uncultured bacterium. Its description in RNAcentral is "bacterial SSU rRNA". It matches the Rfam family "Bacterial small subunit ribosomal RNA", at positions 30 to 409 of the family's 1533-position model. The record is from RNAcentral.
AUUGAACGCUGGCGGCAUGCCUUACACAUGCAAGUCGAACGGCAGCACGGGAGCAAUCCUGGUGGCGAGUGGCGAACGGGUGAGUAAUAUAUCGGAACGUGCCCAGUCGUGGGGAUAACGUAGCGAAAGCUACGCUAAUACCGCAUACGAUCUAUGGAUGAAAGCGGGGGGAUCGCAAGACCUCGCGCGAUUGGAGCGGCCGAUAUCAGAUUAGGUAGUUGGUGAGGUAAAGGCUCACCAAGCCGACGAUCUGUAGCUGGUCUGAGAGGACGACCAGCCACACUGGGACUGAGACACGGCCCAGACUCCUACGGGAGGCAGCAGUGGGGAAUUUUUGGACAAGUGGGCGCAAGGCCUGAUCCAGCAAUGCCGCGUGCAGGAU